Non-coding RNA from Pelobates cultripes (western spadefoot toad), 642 nucleotides. Lineage: Eukaryota; Metazoa; Chordata; Amphibia; Anura; Pelobatidae. The record is from the annotation of a GenBank genome assembly.
UGUAGUCAAAAGGCCUGUGGGUCUGGGCUGGCGGGAAAGUAGUAGAGUCAGAAACAAGCUAAAGUCAAUAAAUCUAAGGGAGGCAACCAUUGGAAUAGGACAGGAACUGGACAGCAGAACAGGAGCAAUUAAGAAAGGAGUCACAGCAAACUGUAGCAAACUGCUAGGGUUCUCACUGGGGCUUUAUAGACUGCUCAGGUCAAGUGACCAAUUCCAAUCUGUGGGUGGUGCCAAGGUGAGGUCCAUAAAUAAAACCUAUGGACUCAGCACCAUCUUGAACCUCUAUGAACCUCCCUGCAGCUAUAUGUCCUUCCAUUUCACAGCAGGAACUACCGGUGGUGCCAAUGUGGAAGGGCACCAUGGGACCAUUGAGAGCCGGACCUACUGGGGGCCCUGUCUGCUAGCACUGACCUCCACUAGAAGCUCUGUGCUGUUGGUAAUUACACUAUGAAAAAUUCUGGGAAGUGACAGUUCUGUAUUAAUGAUUUUAAAGUAGAAGCUAUAAAAUAAUAAAAACAUUCUUUGUAUACUGCAUAGGUAAAUUCCUAAGACUUUGUGUAUUUUUUGUUUAUCCAGAACCAUAUACAGGCUAUGCACUUUAUCAUCAGAAAUAAUACACUGUAAAAAGCAAGACAACUGCUU